GAUGAACGCUGGCGGCGUGCCUAAUACAUGCAAGUCGAGCGAACGGACGAGAAGCUUGCUUCUCUGAUGUUAGCGGCGGACGGGUGAGUAACACGUGGAUAACCUACCUAUAAGACUGGGAUAAUUUCGGGAAACCGGAGCUAAUACCGGAUAAUAUUUUGAACCGCAUGGUUCAAAAGUGAAAGACGGUCUUGAUGUCACUUAUAGAUGGAUCCGCGCUGCAUUAGCUAGUUGGUAAGGUAACGGCUUACCAAGGCAACGAUGCAUAGCCGACCUGAGAGGGUGAUCGGCCACACUGGAACUAAGACACGGUCCAGACUCCUACGGGAGGCAGCAGUAGGGAAUCUUCCGCAAUGGGCGAAAGCCUGACGGAGCAACGCCGCGUGAGUGAUGAAGGUCUUCGGAUCGUAAAACUCUGUUAUUAGGGAAGAACAUAUGUGUAAGUAACUGUGCACAUCUUGACGGUACCUAAUCAGAAAGCCACGGCUAACUACGUG
Molecule: ribosomal RNA, 497 nt
Filed under: uncultured bacterium
Lineage: Bacteria
Description: partial 16S ribosomal RNA
Rfam family: Bacterial small subunit ribosomal RNA
Source: RNAcentral